This 492-nucleotide ribosomal RNA is filed under the name uncultured bacterium. RNAcentral's name for it is "partial 16S ribosomal RNA". It matches the Rfam family "Bacterial small subunit ribosomal RNA", at positions 29 to 507 of the family's 1533-position model. The record is from RNAcentral.
AGUGAACGCUGGCGGUAGGCCUAACACAUGCAAGUCGAACGGCAGCACAGUAAGAGCUUGCUCUUACGGGUGGCGAGUGGCGGACGGGUGAGGAAUACAUCGGAAUCUACUUUUUCGUGGGGGAUAACGUGGGGAAACUUACGCUAAUACCGCAUACGACCUACGGGUGAAGGCAGGGGAUCUUCGGACCUUGCGCGAUUGAAUGAGCCGAUGUCGGAUUAGCUAGUUGGCGGGGUAAAGGCCCACCAAGGCGACGAUCCGUAGCUGGUCUGAGAGGAUGAUCAGCCACACUGGAACUGAGACACGGUCCAGACUCCUACGGGAGGCAGCAGUGGGGAAUAUUGGACAAAGGGCGCAAGCCUGAUCCAGCCAUACCGCGUGGGUGAAGAAGGCCUUCGGGUUGUAAAGCCCUUUUGUUGGGAAAGAAAAGCAGCAGGUUAAUACCCCGCUGUUCUGACGGUACCCAAAGAAUAAGCACCGGCUAACUUCGUG